UACGGAGGGUGCGAGCGUUGUCCGGAAUCAUUGGGCGUAAAGGGCGCGUAGGUGGCCCGGUCAGUUCGUGGUGAAAGCGCGGGGCUCAACCCUGCGUCGGCCAUGAAUACUGCCGCGGCUGGAGCACUGUAGAGGCAGGCGGAAUUCCGGGUGUAGCGGUGGAAUGCGUAGAGAUCCGGAAGAACACCGGUGGCGAAGGCGGCCCGCUGGGCAACUGCUGACACUGAGGCGCGACAGCGUGGGGAGCAAACAGG
RNAcentral lists this ribosomal RNA (254 nucleotides) under uncultured bacterium. RNAcentral's name for it is "partial 16S ribosomal RNA". It matches the Rfam family "Bacterial small subunit ribosomal RNA", at positions 524 to 776 of the family's 1533-position model. The record is from RNAcentral.